AGAUUAAGUUAUUAAGGGCGCACGGUGGAUGCCUUGGCACUAGAAGCCGAUGAAGGACGUUACUAACGACGAUAUGCUUUGGGGAGCUGUAAGUAAGCUUUGAUCCAGAGAUUUCCGAAUGGGGAAACCCAGCAUGAGUUAUGUCAUGUUAUCGAUAUGUGAAUACAUAGCAUAUCAGAAGGCACACCCGGAGAACUGAAACAUCUUAGUACCCGGAGGAAGAGAAAGAAAAUUCGAUUCCCUUAGUAGCGGCGA
Molecule: ribosomal RNA, 255 nt
Filed under: Staphylococcus aureus
Lineage: Bacteria; Bacillati; Bacillota; Bacilli; Caryophanales; Staphylococcaceae
Also listed under: 1 other name
Description: partial 23S ribosomal RNA
Rfam family: Bacterial large subunit ribosomal RNA
Source: RNAcentral